GACGAACGCUGGCGGCGUGCUUAACACAUGCAAGUCGAACGGUAAGGCCUUCAGGUACACGAGUGGCGAACGGGUGAGUAACACGUGGGUGAUCUGCCCUGCACUUUGGGAUAAGCCUGGGAAACUGGGUCUAAUACCGAAUACAUCCUGCUGGCUGCAUGGCCUGGUGGGGGAAAGCUUUUGCGGUGUGGGAUGGGCCCGCGGCCUAUCAGCUUGUUGGUGGGGUGAGGGCCUACCAAGGCGACGACGGGUAGCCGGCCUGAGAGGGUGACCGGCCACACUGGGACUGAGAUACGGCCCAGACUCCUACGGGAGGCAGCAGUGGGGAAUAUUGCACAAUGGGCGCAAGCCUGAUGCAGCGACGCCGCGUGGGGGAUGACGGCCUUCGGGUUGUAAACCUCUUUCAGUGCCGACGAAGCGCAAGUGACGGUAGGCACAGAAGAAGGACCGGCCAACUACGUGCCAGCCGCCGCGGUAA
This 478-nucleotide ribosomal RNA is filed under the name uncultured bacterium. RNAcentral describes it as "partial 16S ribosomal RNA". It matches the Rfam family "Bacterial small subunit ribosomal RNA", at positions 28 to 523 of the family's 1533-position model. The record is from RNAcentral.